RNAcentral lists this ribosomal RNA (566 nucleotides) under Bacillus sp. PSu5_20. RNAcentral's name for it is "bacterial SSU rRNA". It matches the Rfam family "Bacterial small subunit ribosomal RNA", at positions 61 to 608 of the family's 1533-position model. Lineage: Bacteria; Bacillati; Bacillota; Bacilli; Caryophanales; Bacillaceae. The record is from RNAcentral.
GUCGAGCGGACCGACGGGAGCUUGCUCCCUUAGGUUAGCGGCGGACGGGUGAGUAACACGUGGGUAACCUGCCUGUAAGACUGGGAUAACUCCGGGAAACCGGGGCUAAUACCGGAUGCUUGAUUGAACCGCAUGGUUCAAUUAUAAAAGGUGGCUUUUAGCUACCACUUACAGAUGGACCCGCGGCGCAUUAGCUAGUUGGUGAGGUAACGGCUCACCAAGGCAACGAUGCGUAGCCGACCUGAGAGGGUGAUCGGCCACACUGGGACUGAGACACGGCCCAGACUCCUACGGGAGGCAGCAGUAGGGAAUCUUCCGCAAUGGACGAAAGUCUGACGGAGCAACGCCGCGUGAGUGAUGAAGGUUUUCGGAUCGUAAAACUCUGUUGUUAGGGAAGAACAAGUACCGUUCGAAUAGGGCGGUACCUUGACGGUACCUAACCAGAAAGCCACGGCUAACUACGUGCCAGCAGCCGCGGUAAUACGUAGGUGGCAAGCGUUGUCCGGAAUUAUUGGGCGUAAAGCGCGCGCAGGCGGUUUCUUAAGUCUGAUGUGAAAGCCCCCGGC